AUGAAUGCAAGGAAAGAUGAUUUGGAUGAUGUAUUGAAACUCGUAUCUUUCUUCAAAGACAUGAAGGCAAUCAAUGAUGAGUUUUUCUAUGACAUACAAGUAGACAGCGACAAGUCAAUUAAAAACAUUUUCUGGUCCAAUGCAAGCUGCCGAGGAGCGUAUCAAGACUUUGGUGAUUGUGUAACAUUCGACACAACUUGCAAGACCAACAGAUUUCAUAUGCCUCUUGGAGUGUUUGUUGGAACAAACCAUCAUUUGCAAUCAACAAUAUUUGUUGUUGCCCUGAUCAGAGACGGAGAUGCAAAGUCAUUCAAGUGGCUGCUCGAUACAUUUGUACGGUGCAUGAACAACAAACACCCAACUUGCAUUCUAACAGACCAGUGCCCGUCGAUGGGGAAAGCUAUACCACAAUCAUUCCCAAGCACCGUCCACAAGCUAUGCCGUUGGCACAUCCUGAAGAAGUUCAAGGAAUACCUCGCGUUGUUGUACAAAAAGUAUAAAACAUUCAAAGAGGAGUUCACAACAAUCUUAAACUGGCCGCUAAUGCCAACGGAGUUUGAAGCUGCCUGGGCUGAACUCGUGCAAAAGUACAACCUGCAGAAUGACCAGAUGAUGAUGCAGCUGUGGAAUGAUAGAAAAAUGUGGAUACCAGCAUAUUACAAGAACAUUUUCUAUGCUAGAAUGACUUCUACACAACGAAGCGAGAGCAUGAAUCACAUGCUCAAGAGAGGGUUUGUCAAGGGGACCCGGAACUACACAAGUUUGCUAGGAGGGUAA
This 777-nucleotide ribosomal RNA is filed under the name Triticum aestivum (bread wheat). Its description in RNAcentral is "partial small subunit ribosomal RNA". Lineage: Eukaryota; Viridiplantae; Streptophyta; Magnoliopsida; Poales; Poaceae. The record is from RNAcentral.